GAGAGUUUGAUCCUGGCUCAGGGUGAACGCUGGCGGCGUGUUUAAGGCAUGCAAGUCGAACGGUUCGUACCGCAAGGUACGGACAGUGGCAAACGGGUGAGUAACACAUUGGUAACCUACCCUUCACAGGAGAAUAACCCCGCGAAAGUGGGGCUAAUACUCCGUACGUUCUGGUAGCGUCUGCUAUCAGAAGAAAGUUUUUCGGUGAAGGAGGGGCCUAUGUCCCAUCAGCUUGUUGGUAAGGUAACGGCUUACCAAGGCUAUGACGGGUAGCGGGUGUGAGAGCACGACCCGCCUCACUGGGACUGAGAUACUGCCCAGACACCUACGGGUGGCUGCAGUCGAGAAUCUUCCCCAAUGGACGAAAGUCUGAGGGAGCGACGCCGCGUGACCGAAGAAGCCCUUCGGGGUGUAAAAGUCUUUUCUCAGGGAAAAACCAGCGAUGGUACCUGAGGAAUAAGAGGCUGCAAACUUCGUGCCAGCAGCAGCGGUAAUACGAAGGCCUCAAGCGUUACCCGGAUUUAUUGGGCGUAAAGCGUUCAAAGGUGGCUUUGUAAGUCGAACGUUAAAUCCUCAUGCUCAACAUGAGGGCCGCGUUCGAAACUGCAAGGCUCGAGGAUGGGAGAGGCAGAUGGAAUUGCCGGUGUAGCAGUAAAAUGCGUUAAUAUCGGCAGGAACACCAAAGGCGAAGGCAUUCUGCUGGAACAAUCCUGACACUGAAAGAACGAAAGCGUGGGGAGCGAAUAGGAUUAGAUACCCUAGUAGUCCACGCCGUAAACGAUGAGUGCUAGGCAUUGGUAGUUUCGACCCUAUCAGUGCCGUUUACUCAAGCUAACGCUUUAAGCACUCCGCCUGGGGAGUACGGCCGCAAGGCUAAAACUCAAAGGAAUUGACGGGAGCCCGCACAAGCGGUGGAGCAUGUGGUUUAAUUCGAUGGUAAGCGAGGAACCUUACCUGGAUUCUUCCUAUGGAAGCUCUCAGAAAUGAGGGUGUGCCGCAAGGAACCAUAGGCAGGGUGAUGCACGGCUGUCGUCAGCUCGUGUCGUGAGAUGUACCGUUAAGUCGGAAAACGAGCGCAACCCCCGUGGUAUGUUGUAUAUUCAUACCAGACUGCCCUCUUUAAGAGGGAGGAAGGAGGGGAUGACGUCAAGUCAGCGUGUCCCUUACGUCCAGGGCUACACACGUGCUACAAUGGCGAGUCACAGCGGGUCGCAAAGCGGCAACGCUUAGCAAAUCCAUAAAACUCGCCCCAGUUCGGAUUGAGGUCUGCAACUCGACCUCAUGAAGUUGGAAUCGCUAGUAACCGCGUAUCAGCCAUGGCGCGGUGAAUACGUUCUCGGGCUUUGUACACGGGACGCCUGGCAGUUUUUAUCAACCAGUCAGUGGAAGUCUGACAAGGUGGCAGUAGACUACCUUAAGUGAAAUCGCAGGUGCAUAUCGCGAGGUAUGCACUGAAGGGCGAAAGUAACAUUUUUCAGCUUGAGUCUUCGAAAGGCUUAUCUUGUGCGCGACUCUGCGUGUACAUGAGGAAGCGAUCUACUAUUCAUAAACAAGAUAAGUGACGGAAGACCGAAGAUGAGAAAAAAUGGUGAUAAAAGUGACCCAGGGAGAUCUUGUUAGGGUGCUCGGGGAAUGAUAGAAUAUCGUGAUGAAAUUGAAACCGAGUAAGGAAAUUGCGGCAACGCAACUUCCGAAUCUAACAAGGAGUCAGCAGAGGCCGUAGUAAUCCUGAUACGUCGGGAUGAAGGGCCGAACCUGUAUGCAAAAAUUCGAUCCUAUUCUAAGAAGCAUUACAGGAACCGCUAGGGUACGGGAAAACCGUUUGCCCAGUGGUGUGAGAAUUUGGAAACAAAUAUCUCAAUACCGCCCGUCACGUCAAGGGAGCCGGCAAUACCCGAAAUUUCUGCACGAAUAGCAGAGCCUAAGGUAGGGCUGGUGACAGGGACGAAGUCGUAACAAGGCAUGGGUAGCGGAAGCUGUCCAUGGAUCACCUCCUUUCUA
This 2001-nucleotide ribosomal RNA is filed under the name Candidatus Kerfeldbacteria bacterium RIFCSPHIGHO2_02_FULL_42_14. RNAcentral also lists the same sequence under 3 other names. Lineage: Bacteria; Candidatus Kerfeldiibacteriota. The record is from RNAcentral.